AGUGAACGCUGGCGGUAGGCCUAACACAUGCAAGUCGAACGGCAGCACAGUAAGUGCUUGCUGUUACGGGUGGGAAGUGGCGGGUGGGUGAGGAAUACAUCGGCAUCUACUUUUUCGUGGGGGAUAACGAAGGGGAAUUUAAGCUAAUACCGCAUUCGACCUACGGGUGAAAGCAGGGGAUCUUUGUACCUUACGCGUUUGAUUGCGCCGUUGUCGGAUUAGCUAGUUGGCGGGGUAAAGGCCCACCAAGGCGAGGAUCCGUAGCUGGUCUGAGAGGAUGAUCGGCCACACUGGAACUGAGACACGGUCCAGACUACUACGGGAGGCAGCAGUGGGGAAUAGUAGACAAUGGGCGCAAGCCUUAUCCAGCCAGACCGCGUGGGUGGAGAAGGCCUUGGGGUUGUAAAGACCGCCUGUUGGGAAAGAAAAGCAGCAGGUUAAUACCACGCUGUUCUGACGGUACCCAAAGAAGAAGCACCGGCUAACUUCGUG
RNAcentral lists this ribosomal RNA (492 nucleotides) under uncultured bacterium. RNAcentral describes it as "partial 16S ribosomal RNA". It matches the Rfam family "Bacterial small subunit ribosomal RNA", at positions 29 to 507 of the family's 1533-position model. The record is from RNAcentral.